Molecule: long non-coding RNA, 423 nt
Filed under: Pan troglodytes (chimpanzee)
Lineage: Eukaryota; Metazoa; Chordata; Mammalia; Primates; Hominidae
Description: long non-coding RNA NONPTRT009409
Source: RNAcentral
CCAGUCACCUCCCAACUCACAGACAUCCCUCCAGGGAUCCACAGGAUCCCUCCAGUGCCCCUGUAAGACCCGUUUGUAUAACCAUUGAGGACAUCCAGGCUAGUCCACUGUUUGGCUUUGACAGCAACAAUGGCAAUGGUCUUUCACUGAGGGCUGCAGCCCCACCAGACAGUCAUCUCCAUGCAGCCAUCUGCUCCACAUCCAGAAUGUAGAAAACUGCAAAGAACAUUGCUCCCACACUAACAAUGAGAAGAGUCAGAUAAUCCUCAACACGCCUGGAGAGGUGAAUCACAGGGGAACAAAGUGAACUGAAUUCCAAAAAGGAUGGGCCCCUUCAAGCAGAGAGAGAGCACAUGAACUGCUUUUUGACAGGUGUCAAAGAAAAAAAUAUUCAAUAACACUUGUGUCUUUUUUGGUUUUGGG